CCUACGGGUGGCAGCAGUGAGGAAUAUUGGUCAAUGGACGAGAGUCUGAACCAGCCAAGUAGCGUGAAGGAUGACUGCCCUAUGGGUUGUAAACUUCUUUUAUAUGGGAAUAAAACGUUCCACGUGUGGGAUUUUGUAUGUACAAUAUGAAUAAGGAUCGGCUAACUCCGUGCCAGCAGCCGCGGUAAUACGGAGGAUCCGAGCGUUAUCCGGAUUUAUUGGGUUUAAAGGGAGCGUAGGUGGAUUGUUAAGUCAGUUGUGAAAGUUUGCGGCUCAACCGUAAAAUUGCAGUUGAAACUGGCAGUCUUGAGUACAGUAGAGGUGGGCGGAAUUCGUGGUGUAGCGGUGAAAUGCUUAGAUAUCACGAAGAACUCCGAUUGCGAAGGCAGUUCACUGGACUGCAACUGACACUGAGGCUCGAAAGUGUGGGUAUCAAACAGGAUUAGAUACCCCUGUAGUC
Molecule: ribosomal RNA, 460 nt
Filed under: uncultured bacterium
Lineage: Bacteria
Description: partial 16S ribosomal RNA
Rfam family: Bacterial small subunit ribosomal RNA
Source: RNAcentral